GACGAACGCUGGCGGCAUGCUUAACACAUGCAAGUCGAACACCGGCGCACGGGUGAGUAACACGUAUCCAACCUGCCCUUUACUCGGGGAUAGCCUUUGGAAAGAAAGAUUAAUACCCGAUGUAAAGGAUGGGGGGGCGUUCGUUUGGGUUGUUGGUGAGGUAACGGCACACCAAGCCUUCGUUGGAUGGUGGUUCGGAGGGGAAGGUCCACUGCAUCUGAGCUGCGACACAGUCUACACUCCUACGGGAGGCAGCAGUAAGGUGUACUAGGCAAUGAGCGUUGUCCUGAACCAGCCGCGUAGCGUGAAGAAUGAAGGCUUAUGGGUCGUCAACUUGUUGUAUAGAAGGAUAGGUAUUAUAUGAAUAAGGAUCGGCUAACUCCGUGCCAGCCGCCGCGGUAAUAC
Molecule: ribosomal RNA, 405 nt
Filed under: uncultured bacterium
Lineage: Bacteria
Description: partial 16S ribosomal RNA
Rfam family: Bacterial small subunit ribosomal RNA
Source: RNAcentral